Molecule: ribosomal RNA, 628 nt
Filed under: Rhyssalus clavator
Lineage: Eukaryota; Metazoa; Arthropoda; Insecta; Hymenoptera; Braconidae
Description: eukaryotic LSU rRNA
Rfam family: Eukaryotic large subunit ribosomal RNA
Source: RNAcentral
CCUGAGAAACCCAAAAGAUCGAAUGGGGAGAUUCAUCGUCAGCGCAUUUGGUAUAUGUGUAAGUUAUGAUGCGGGUUACUCUCGAGUAUUGCCUGCACAUUCUUAUAUAUUUAAUUGCUAGAUGUUGUCGGCGUGCACUUCUCCCCUAGUAGGACGUCGCGACCCGUUGGGUGUCGGUCUACGGCCCGAGUGGGAGCCUUUGAUGCUUUAAAAACAUUAAAGACCCUCGGUGUUUCCUGACCGGCUGCCCGGCGGUAUUCGUACGGUAUUAAGCCGCAUUUAUAUGCGUCCACACCCGUCGCAAGCGCGGCCAGUUUCUGAUAGUACGGACCUAGUGCCGUCGUUGGGCCUGGCCAGCUGUUGGCUGUUGCGGUGUUCUGGGACUGGCUGAAAAAUAAUUACCGGUCGGCGACGCUACUGCUUUGGGUACUUUCAGGACCCGUCUUGAAACACGGACCAAGGAGUCUAACAUGUGCGCGAGUCAUUGGGAUUUUUUUUAAAUUAAACCUAAAGGCGUAAUGAAAGUAAAGGUCGUCCUUGCGUCGAUCGAGGGAGGAUGGGCUGUGUUAAGAUACAGCUCCGCACUCCCGGGGCGUCUCAUUCUCAUUACGAGAAGAGGCGCACCUAG